This 468-nucleotide ribosomal RNA is filed under the name uncultured bacterium. RNAcentral describes it as "partial 16S ribosomal RNA". It matches the Rfam family "Bacterial small subunit ribosomal RNA", at positions 28 to 507 of the family's 1533-position model. The record is from RNAcentral.
GACGAACGCUGGCGGCGUGCUUAACACAUGCAAGUCGAACGGAAAGGCCCUGCUUUUGUGGGGUGCUCGAGUGGCGAACGGGUGAGUAACACGCGAGUAACCUGCCCUUGACUUUGGGAUAACUUCAGGAAACUGGGGCUAAUACCGGAUAGGAGCUCCUGCUGCAUGGUGGGGGUUGGAAAGUUUCGGUGGUUGGGGAUGGACUCGCGGCUUACCAGCUUGUUGGUGGGGUAGUGGCUUACCAAGGCUUUGACGGGUAGCCGGCCUGAGAGGGUGACCGGCCACAUUGGGACUGAGGGACGGCCCAGGCUCCUACGGGAGGCAGCAGUGGGAAAUAUUGCACAAGGGGCGGAGGCCUGAUGCAGCAACGCCGCGUGCGGGAUGACGGCCUUCGGGUUGUAAACCGCUUGCGCCUGUGACGAAGCGUGAGUGACGGUAAUGGGUAAAGAAGCACCGGCUAACUACGUG